This 1004-nucleotide long non-coding RNA is filed under the name Chelonoidis abingdonii (Abingdon island giant tortoise). RNAcentral's name for it is "lncRNA (ENSCABG00000004879.1)". Lineage: Eukaryota; Metazoa; Chordata; Testudines; Testudinidae. The record is from RNAcentral.
GGAGUAUGAUGCUAUGAAACCAGAAUGGUUGUAUUGCUUAUGAAGACAGUGAGGAAUCAGGCCUAUGCUCUUUAACCAUGAGCUCAGCUCUUAACUUCUCCUGCUUGUUGGUGUGUUUCUCUUAGUGGAAAGCAAUGAUUUGUUGAGAGAAGAGGAGAUAUUUUCUUCCUCCCUGAGUGAUGAUUCUGCCUCUGAGCUCAGUCUCACAGAUGUCAGCUCUGAUGAGCUCUCUAGUGCCACAGAGAUUAAGGAGCCUGAAGGAUCCAAAGAGCUCUCCACCCCAAGCCUGGAGUUGGAGGACAGCACCCCCAAGGAGGAGGCUGGAAGCAUGUCGGAUGAGGACCUCAGCAGUGACCUGUUUGACAGUCUGCCUGAACUUAAUCUGAGCGAUCUUUAACGCUUAGCCAAAGAAAGCCCCCUUCCGUCAAAUAAGAAAAAUUAAAGAUGGAAAGGGAACUGGCAUCUCAAAAUGGACAGGAUCCUCUUCUGAACUGUCAGCCACUUGGGCGGAGGGGGGGGAGGGGUGUUGCAGUGGCCCAAAGUGAUCCCUUUGCGGGGAGACGGGCUCUGCACAGCCUGGUAUCAGGCAGUCUGCACCUCUGCUGACUUUGACUUUCAAGUACUCUCCAGAAGAAACUGACUGGGCUGUGUAUUUCUGAGCUUCAGGUUGUAAGAUCUGUUCUAACUCUGUCAGCUAACAUGCUGGGCAUGUAUAUGGAGACCUGUUUUGCCCUCUCGGCAUGGGUGGGGAACAGAGCCCUAGUAGGUGAUCCAUACAUUUACCCAGGUAAGUGCAAGACGCCUCUAAGUGGCAGCUGAGUUUGCUGGGUGCUGGUAAAUCUCUUCCCAUGCAGGUAAUUGAAGUGGUUUAAAAAGCUCCAUUCUUGGAACAGUAUUUUCAUAUGUUUCAGUAUGUCAUUCAUAAAGGGAAAAUUGCUUUAAGGAGAAGACAGCUGAAAUGGAGAGAAGCUGUGGCCUAAAAUCCUGCCAUUCCCAUUCUUCAG